Molecule: ribosomal RNA, 253 nt
Filed under: uncultured bacterium
Lineage: Bacteria
Description: partial 16S ribosomal RNA
Rfam family: Bacterial small subunit ribosomal RNA
Source: RNAcentral
UACGUAGGGGGCAAGCGUUGUCCGGAAUCAUUGGGCGUAAAGCGCGUGUAGGCGGCCAGGUAAGUCCGUUCUGAAAGCCCGGGGCUCAACCCCGGGAGGCGGAUGGAUACUGCUUGGCUCGAGUCCGGAAGAGGCGAGUGGAAUUCCCGGUGUAGCGGUGAAAUGCGCAGAUAUCGGGAGGAACACCAAUGGCGAAGGCAGCUCGCUGGGACGGUACUGACGCUAAGGCGCGAAAGCGUGGGGAGCAAACAGG